UACGGAGGGGGCUAGCGUUGUUAGGAAUUACUGGGCGUAAAGCGCACGUAGGCGGCUUUGUAAGUUAGAGGUGAAAGCCCGGGGCUCAACUCCGGAAUUGCCUUUAAGACUGCAUCGCUAGAAUUGUGGAGAGGUAAGUGGAAUUCCGAGUGUAGAGGUGAAAUUCGUAGAUAUUCGGAAGAACACCAGUGGCGAAGGCGACUUACUGGACACAUAUUGACGCUGAGGUGCGAAAGCGUGGGGAGCAAACAGG
Molecule: ribosomal RNA, 253 nt
Filed under: uncultured bacterium
Lineage: Bacteria
Description: partial 16S ribosomal RNA
Rfam family: Bacterial small subunit ribosomal RNA
Source: RNAcentral